AUGUAUGUGGUUCGUAACCAUCCCACACAAAAAAACUAGGAGAUU
RNAcentral lists this non-coding RNA (45 nucleotides) under Weissella halotolerans. Its description in RNAcentral is "PreQ1-I sequence". It matches the Rfam family "PreQ1 (pre queuosine) riboswitch aptamer". Rfam says of the family: This family is a bacterial riboswitch that binds to the metabolite preQ1, an intermediate in the biosynthesis of the modified nucleoside queuosine from GTP. One example of this riboswitch is located in the leader of the Bacillus subtilis ykvJKLM (queCDEF) operon which encodes four genes necessary for queuosine production. Lineage: Bacteria; Bacillati; Bacillota; Bacilli; Lactobacillales; Lactobacillaceae. The record is from RNAcentral. RNAcentral also lists the same sequence under 1 other name.